CACAUGAUGCCAGACCCUUCAUUCAUUCAUUCAUUCAUUAUUUUUCAUAUUUCUUUUCUGGUCGUGCUUCCCUCUUCUCCAAACCCCCACUAUAUCUCGAUCCAUCCGAUUCAAUGCCACCCUUGUUCUCAUAAUUCAUCCAUGGCUACUUCUUCUUCAUGGAAUCUCAGAUCCCUUUUCACUUCUGGGAAUAAUUCCCCUCAGGAUUCAUCAAACCGGAAAGUAGAGAUCUCUGGAGUUACAAACGAGCAAUUUGAUCACCUCUAUUCGCCCUUAAUAGAUGACAAAAAGAGUCGAACGGUAACUCAUACUGUCAGAUCACAUGGGAUUGCUGUGGCAAGAACUCAUAUGUAUGAUUGGUUGAUUCUUAUAGCGUUGGCGGUUAUGAUAGUCGUUUUAAACGUUAUUCAUCCUUUCUAUCGGUUUGUUGGAAAAGACAUGAUGACUGAUCUUAAGUAUCCGUUGAAGGAUAGCACCGUUCCACUAUGGGCCGUUCCCGUAUAUGCAAUAUUGUUUCCAAUGGCUAUCUUUACGGUCUUCUAUUUUCAUAGAAGAGAUGUAUAUGAUCUUCAUCAUGCCAUAUUAGGGCUUUUAUUUUCUGUUAUGAUAACCGGGGUCAUAACCGAUGCAAUAACGGAUGCGGUUGGAAGACCUCGGCCCGACUUCUUCUGGCGUUGUUUCCCAGACGGAAAAGAUGAUUCCGUCGUGUUCUUCAGCUUUACGGUCGAUUCGGAAACGUUAUAUGUCAUGGCGAUAGCGAUGUUGUACGAGAAGGCCAUAAGAGUUUCCCGUGUGGAUACACUUCAUGGUCUUUCUCUGGUCUCGGAUUCUUGUCCCUCUAUCUAUCGGGAAAAUUAAGAGCGUUUGACCGUAACGGCCAUGUUGCAAAGCUAUGCAUCGUCUUUUUGCCGCUACUCGUUGCAUCACUCGUUGGCAUUUCUCGUGUAGACGACUAUUGGAACCACUGGCAAGACGUCUUUGCUGGAGGUCUAAUAGGUCUUACAGUGGCGACGUUUUGCUAUUUGCAGUUUUAUGCACCACCCUAUCACGCCGAAGGUUGGGGACCCUACGCAUUUUUUCGUGCUCUAGAAGACUCUGCUGCCCAAAUCAACGCGCUCGGGUCUUCAUUCGCUGAUUCCCGAUUGACAAUCGACGAUCUUGAAUCUGCUAUUAGGUAGUUCUUUCUGUAUUUAGAAAGUUAGAUUGUUUGAUCAUUAUUGUUUCUAACAAAAUUUGUUAGUUUCGAAAAGAUAUCAUACAAGAGUUGUAACUUGCAAGCA
This is an RNA transcript of Helianthus annuus (common sunflower), 1280 nucleotides long. It is a transcript of the gene named lipid phosphate phosphatase 2, with no coding region annotated. The transcript has 9 exons. NCBI's taxonomy places the organism in Eukaryota, Viridiplantae, Streptophyta, Magnoliopsida, Asterales, Asteraceae. The record is from RefSeq and is a predicted model, not a curated record.